UACGUAGGGUGCGAGCGUUGUCCGGAAUUAUUGGGCGUAAAGAGCUCGUAGGCGGCCUGUUACGUCUGCUGUGAAAUCCCGGGGCUUAACCCCGGGCGUGCAGUGGAUACGGGCAGGCUGGAGGCAGGCAGGGGAGAACGGAAUUCCCGGUGUGAGCGGUGAAAUGCGCAGAUAUCGGGAGGAACACCGGUGGCGAAGGCGGUUCUCUGGGCCUGUACUGACGCUGAGGAGCGAAAGCGUGGGGAGCGAA
This 250-nucleotide ribosomal RNA is filed under the name uncultured bacterium. Its description in RNAcentral is "partial 16S ribosomal RNA". It matches the Rfam family "Bacterial small subunit ribosomal RNA", at positions 524 to 772 of the family's 1533-position model. The record is from RNAcentral.